This is a long non-coding RNA of Solenopsis invicta (red fire ant), 441 nucleotides long. RefSeq lists it as uncharacterized. The transcript has 3 exons. The record is from RefSeq and is a predicted model, not a curated record. Lineage: Eukaryota; Metazoa; Arthropoda; Insecta; Hymenoptera; Formicidae.
UUAUUUACACAAGUGCAAUAUAAAGUAUAAAUACUGCUCAACAAUCAAAAUCGAUCAGUUUUGAUCACGUCGUACGAUCUGCAUGACUAUUCUAUUCUCCAAGAAAAACGAAAAUAUUGUCAAGAUGAAGUUCGUUAUUUUCACUAUUUUCAUUAUGAUUGCUAUGGCUAUGGCUGCUUCCCAAGCAGGAAACCAUGAGGCCUCUACGUCCGCUUGCGUACACACAAGUCUCCCUUGUAAACAAACUAGUGAUUGCUGUGAUGGUCUGAUGUGCGAACCACAUGCUAGGAUAUGUAUACCAAACAAAAAAAACUCGCAUUUUGGAUAAUAUGAAUUGAUGCUUCUUUAUAAACGACUACGUCACUACUUUUUUCAUAUAUAUGUAUAAAAAAGAAGAUAUCUUCUAUUCUGUAACUUUAAAUAAAAAUAUUUAGCUCUCAA